AUGAACGCUGGCGGCGUGCUUAACACAUGCAAGUCGAACGAAGCAUUUAAGACAGAUUACUUCGGUUUGAAGUCUUUUAUGACUGAGUGGCGGACGGGUGAGUAACGCGUGGGUAACCUGCCUCAUACAGGGGGAUAGCAGCUGGAAACGGCUGGUAAUACCGCAUAAGCGCAAAGUAACACAUGGUACAGUGUGAAAAACUCCGGUGGUAUGAGAUGGACCCGCGUCUGAUUAGCUUGUUGGCGGGGUAACGGCCCACCAAGGCGACGAUCAGUAGCCGACCUGAGAGGGUGACCGGCCACAUUGGGACUGAGACACGGCCCAGACUCCUACGGGAAGCAGCAGUGGGGAAUAUUGCACAAUGGAGGAAACUCUGAUGCAGCGACGCCGCGUGAGUGAAGAAGUAGUUCGCUAUGUAAAGCUCUAUCAGCAGGGAAGAUAGUGACGGUACCUGACUAAGAAGCUCCGGCUAAAUACGUG
This 480-nucleotide ribosomal RNA is filed under the name uncultured bacterium. RNAcentral describes it as "partial 16S ribosomal RNA". It matches the Rfam family "Bacterial small subunit ribosomal RNA", at positions 29 to 507 of the family's 1533-position model. The record is from RNAcentral.